CCGUCUCAUCGCGCCGAUUUGAGGAUCAGCUUGCGGGCGCGUUACAAGUACGGCUAAAGCGGCCAGGCACGACCGAUC
This 78-nucleotide non-coding RNA is filed under the name Lautropia sp. The record is from RNAcentral. Lineage: Bacteria; Pseudomonadati; Pseudomonadota; Betaproteobacteria; Burkholderiales; Burkholderiaceae.